GGACAACCUACCCUUGAGACAGGUAUAAACCCGGGAAACUGGGUAUAAUCCCUGAUAGAUCUCGGUCGCUGGAAUGCUCCGAGAUCCAAAGCUCCGGCGCUCAAGGAUGGGUCUGCGGCCUAUCAGGUAGUAGUGGGUGUAGCGUACCUACUAGCCUACGACGGGUACGGGUUGUGAGAGCAAGAGCCCGGAGAUGGAUUCUGAGACACGAAUCCAGGCCCUACGGGGUGCAGCAGGCGCGAAAACUUUACAAUGCCGGCAACGGCGAUAAGGGAACCUCGAGUGCCAGGUUACAAAUCUGGCUGUCGUGAUGCCUAAAAAGCAUUGCAUAGCAAGGGCCGGGCAAGACCGGUGCCAGCCGCCGCGGUAACACCGGCGGCUCGAGUGGUAACCGUUAUUAUUGGGUCUAAAGGGUCUGUAGCCGGCCGGAUAAGUCUCUUGGGAAAUCCAGCAGCUCAACUGUUGGGCUUUCAGGAGAUACUGUUCGGCUCGAGGCCGGGAGAGGUGAGAGGUACUUCA
This 519-nucleotide ribosomal RNA is filed under the name uncultured bacterium. RNAcentral's name for it is "bacterial SSU rRNA". It matches the Rfam family "Archaeal small subunit ribosomal RNA", at positions 102 to 622 of the family's 1478-position model. The record is from RNAcentral.